Molecule: ribosomal RNA, 460 nt
Filed under: uncultured bacterium
Lineage: Bacteria
Description: partial 16S ribosomal RNA
Rfam family: Bacterial small subunit ribosomal RNA
Source: RNAcentral
AAUGAACGCUGGCGGCGUGCCUAACACAUGCAAGUCGAACGAAGGCCCGAUUUCGGUUGGGUCCUUAGUGGCGCACGGGUGCGUAACGCGUGGGAAUCUGCCCCUCGGUUCGGAAUAACAGUUAGAAAUGACUGCUAAUACCGGAUGAUGACGUAAGUCCAAAGAUUUAUCGCCGAGGGAUGAGCCCGCGUAGGAUUAGCUAGUUGGUGUGGUAAGAGCGCACCAAGGCGACGAUCCUUAGCUGGUCUGAGAGGAUGAUCAGCCACACUGGGACUGAGACACGGCCCAGACUCCUACGGGAGGCAGCAGUGGGGAAUAUUGGACAGUGGGCGAAAGCCUGAUCCAGCAAUGCCGCGUGAGUGAUGAAGGCCUUAGGGUUGUAAAGCUCUUUUACCCGGGAUGAUAAUGACAGUACCGGGAGAAUAAGCUCCGGCUAACUCCGUGCCAGCAGCCGCCGUAA